UACGGAGGGUGCAAACGUUGCUCGGAAUCAUUGGGCGUAAAGCGCACGUAGGCGGCCUGUUAAGUCGGGUGUGAAAUCCCUGGGCUCAACCCAGGAAGUGCAUUCGAAACUGGCAGGCUUGAAUAUGGAAGAGGGUCGCGGAAGUUCCUGGUGUAGCGGUGAAAUGCGUAGAUAUCAGGAGGAACACCGGUGGCGAAGGCGGCUAUCUGGACAGAGUCUGACGCUGAGGCGCGAAAGCUAGGGGAGCAAACAGG
Molecule: ribosomal RNA, 254 nt
Filed under: uncultured bacterium
Lineage: Bacteria
Description: partial 16S ribosomal RNA
Rfam family: Bacterial small subunit ribosomal RNA
Source: RNAcentral